AUUGAACGCUGGCGGAAUGCUUUACACAUGCAAGUCGAACGGCAGCACGGACUUCGGUCUGGUGGCGAGUGGCGAACGGGUGAGUAAUGUAUCGGAACGUGCCCAGUCGUGGGGGAUAACGUAGUGAAAAUUACGCUAAUACCGCAUACGAUCUAUGGAUGAAAGCGGGGGAUCGCAAGACCUCGCGCGAUUGGAGCGGCCGAUAUCAGAUUAGGUAGUUGGUGGGGUAAAGGCCCACCAAGCCAACGAUCUGUAGCUGGUCUGAGAGGACGACCAGCAACACUGGAACUGAGACACGGUCCAGCCUCCUACGGGAGGCAGCAGUGGGGAAUUUUGGACAAUGGGCGAAAGCCUGACCCAGCCAUUCCGCGUGCAGGAUGAAGGCCCUCGGGUUGUAAACUGCUUUUGUACAGAACGAAAAGGUUUCUACUAAUACUAGGAGCUCAUGACGGUACUGUAAGAAUAAGCACCGGCUAACUACGUGCCAGCAGCCGCCGCCG
RNAcentral lists this ribosomal RNA (500 nucleotides) under uncultured bacterium. RNAcentral describes it as "partial 16S ribosomal RNA". It matches the Rfam family "Bacterial small subunit ribosomal RNA", at positions 30 to 523 of the family's 1533-position model. The record is from RNAcentral.